RNAcentral lists this transfer RNA (76 nucleotides) under Escherichia coli. Its description in RNAcentral is "tRNA-Thr". It matches the Rfam family "tRNA". From Rfam's summary of the family: Transfer RNA (tRNA) molecules are approximately 80 nucleotides in length. Their secondary structure includes four short double-helical elements and three loops (D, anti-codon, and T loops). Lineage: Bacteria; Pseudomonadati; Pseudomonadota; Gammaproteobacteria; Enterobacterales; Enterobacteriaceae. RNAcentral also lists the same sequence under 3 other names. The record is from RNAcentral.
GCCGACUUAGCUCAGUAGGUAGAGCAACUGACUUGUAAUCAGUAGGUCACCAGUUUGAUUCCGGUAGUCGGCACCA